Molecule: ribosomal RNA, 274 nt
Filed under: uncultured bacterium
Lineage: Bacteria
Description: partial 16S ribosomal RNA
Rfam family: Bacterial small subunit ribosomal RNA
Source: RNAcentral
AUACGGAGGAUGCAAGCGUUAUCCGGAUUUAUUGGGUUUAAAGGGUUCGUAGGCGGAAAAUUAAGUCAGUGGUGAAAGCCUGCAGCUCAACUGCAGAACUGCCAUUGAUACUGAUUUUCUUGAAUUUAUAUGAAGUGGGCGGAAUGCGUCAUGUAGCGGUGAAAUGCACAGAUAUGACGCAGAACACCAAUUGCGAAGGCAGCUCACUAAUGUAAUAUUGACGCUGAGGAACGAAAGCAUGGGGAGCGAACAGGAUUAGAAACCCUAGUAGUCC